UUUCAUCCACAUUUAUUUUAAACAGACAGAGGCAGAUGCACACAAGCUCACAGAGCGAAUGAGAGAUACUAGCCCAGGCUUGUUCUCUCAGC
Molecule: long non-coding RNA, 92 nt
Organism: Sinocyclocheilus rhinocerous
Lineage: Eukaryota; Metazoa; Chordata; Actinopteri; Cypriniformes; Cyprinidae
Exons: 3
Source: RefSeq, a predicted model, not a curated record